This 129-nucleotide small nucleolar RNA is filed under the name Dasypus novemcinctus (nine-banded armadillo). Its description in RNAcentral is "Small nucleolar RNA SNORA31 (ENSDNOG00000040819.1)". It matches the Rfam family "Small nucleolar RNA SNORA31". From Rfam's summary of the family: ACA31 (SNORA31) belongs to the H/ACA class of snoRNAs which are thought to guide the sites of modification of uridines to pseudouridines. ACA31 is predicted to guide the pseudouridylation of U3713 in 28S rRNA and U218 in 18S rRNA. Lineage: Eukaryota; Metazoa; Chordata; Mammalia; Cingulata; Dasypodidae. The record is from RNAcentral.
GUGCAUCUCUGACAGACCUGGAGCAGUUAAUGUCUGCUGCUAAGGUUUCCUCUACAGAUGCAAGAAAAAGAAGGUCCUUGCACUGUCUGUCUGGUCGUGGCAAUCAAGAUUGAAUGGGGGAAUACAGGA